UACGUAGGGUGCUAGCGUUGUCCGGAUUUAUUGGGCGUAAAGAGCUCGUAGGCGGCUUGGUUAGUUGGGUGUGAAACCUCCAGGCUUAACCUGGAGACGCCACUCAAUACUGCCAUGGCUAGAGUCCGGUAGGGGACCACGGAAUUCCUGGUGUAGCGGUGAAAUGCGCAGAUAUCAGGAGGAACACCGGUGGCGAAGGCGGUGGUCUGGGCCGGCACUGACGCUGAGGAGCGAAAGCGUGGGGAGCGAACAGG
Molecule: ribosomal RNA, 254 nt
Filed under: uncultured bacterium
Lineage: Bacteria
Description: partial 16S ribosomal RNA
Rfam family: Bacterial small subunit ribosomal RNA
Source: RNAcentral